UUAAACUACUAAUUACUAAACCAAAAACAUAUGACUCUGGGAGUCUCGCCACUCUACCUCACACAAACUACUGUCAGUGCUUCACUCCGAGAACCACACACCCUUCUUCUUCUUCUUCUUCUUCUUCUUCGUCGCUCAAAUCUCUUCCAAGUUUUCAUAUCAAUGUUAAUCGUGAUCUGAAUCCUUUUCUCGAACAAGCUAGUACUGAUUUUGAUUAAAAUCUGAAUCGCGCUCUAGUUAUCAGAUCUGGAGCAGGGGUUUAGUGUUGGGAGUAUUAGUGUUUGCUCUCGACUUUGUAUUUGUCUCUGCAGACGAUGUUGUUGGGCUCACCGAAGAUAACUUUGAGAAGGAGGUUGGCCAGGACAAAGGAGCACUUGUUGAGUUCUACGCUUCUUGUGUGGGAACUAUAAAAAGCUUGCCCCUGAAUAUGAAAAGCUUGGUUCCAGCUUCAAGAAAGCCAAAUCUGUUUUAAUUGGCAAGAUAAGAGAGCGUUCAGUGAGUUUAGGAGGUUGGAGUUGUUCUUCAAAGACGAGAGCAGGCAUGACGUUUCCAUUUUUUAUCUCUACGAGCUUGUUCAACACGCUGGAAGUGUAUUGCUUAGAUUGUAAGAGCUUUUUUCAUAUCUCCGAUGAAGCCUAUGCAUUUCAGGAGUAUUUCAUCAGGCAUAUAGACGGAUAUGCUUUGAACACAGCAAGCAAGAAGGAAAGAGUAAUUAACUGUUUAAAAGCAGCCAUAGAAUGUCGGCUUUGUGAGGGAGUCAGGCUAGAAUUGUGUGCAGACAACAGACUAGGAUUAUUUUCUGACAUAACAAGAGUUUUGAGGGAUUUAUAGGUAACUCGAGAGUUCUUGGAAAAGGGAAUAGCUGUUUGCAAGGAUGGUGCUCCUUUUAGAAAAAUUGACAAGAGAAUCAGGUGUUGAUUAGGCUGGAUUUGAUAAUCUUUAAUUCUAGACAUUAUAAAUUCUGGAGAUCAGGUGUUGACUAAGCUGGCGUGAAUUUUACAUAAGAGAUUGGAGGUGGAAAUUGGGAUUCCCUUUGUGUAAUUGUUGUUUAAUUCGGUUGAUCUUUUAAGCGGAAAAUUCAAUUUCUGUUUAUGACUAAAAAUUUACUUGAUAUAUUGCAUGAUUUUUUUAUGGGUACUGUUUUCUUUAGCUGUCAGCUUUGCUGUCCAAUAUUGGGCUUAACAUCCAUGGAGCUUAUGUUUUCUCCACCACUGAUGACUACUCCCUCGAUGUAUUUGUGGUGGAUGGAUGGCUAGUAGAGGGAUCAUGGUCACGCUAAUUAAUUCCCUUUCAGCUGUGGAGGAACCCUUGGUUGCAAAAGCAAAAUGUGAAAAUUGGGAGAGAGACAACAGAUUGUUAAAGAUAGAAGAAAGAAUAGCAUCUGGAUCUUGUGGAGAUUUGUAAUUCGUAAUAUUUUUUGUUGUUUAGAUUUAUAACAUGGUUUAUUACUUUCUAACAGAAAUUUGUGUAUCAAUAUUUUGAGUUUAAUAAAAUAUCUCAUUAUAUAGUAA
Molecule: RNA transcript, 1511 nt
Organism: Arachis duranensis
Lineage: Eukaryota; Viridiplantae; Streptophyta; Magnoliopsida; Fabales; Fabaceae
Exons: 8
Source: RefSeq, a predicted model, not a curated record